UACACACUUUUUCCUCAGGCAACCAACAAAAUCUGCGCUUGCAAUUUAACUAAAAAUAAAAGUUUAAAAAAUCAAUAAAUAUGUUGGGCCGCAGCAGUGUAAUUGCACGCAAUUUCUCCCAGUCGAUGGUGCGCUACAGCGGCCAUGGUGGUGUUCCCGGUGAGAACCUGCCCUUCGGACUGCAUAACAAAUAUAGGAUCACCGCGCUGUUCACCAUCGGCUGUGUUCUGGGCUUCGGCUCCCCCUUCCUGAUCGUCAGGCACCAGCUGUUGAAGAAGUAAGUGGCCACAGCAGCCCCACAAAAGCCACGGCAGCAACAACAACAACAACAUGCAAAAAAUGUAAGAUUACGUUGUUGUUUGUUGUAGCCGCAGUAUCGUACAUUGUGCUACAGCUUUAAAUUAAGUCAAAAGUUUAAACGUAAUAAAGUUGCCCAAAAACUAAA
RNAcentral lists this unclassified non-coding RNA (445 nucleotides) under Drosophila virilis. RNAcentral describes it as "GJ19864". The record is from RNAcentral. Lineage: Eukaryota; Metazoa; Arthropoda; Insecta; Diptera; Drosophilidae.